CGGCCGCCGGUUCCUUCGGCAGGGAAAGGUUUCCGACUAUUUGCUGUCCAUCCUCCCUCUGGAUCUGCCGUCUCUGUGCUGCGCCAUUCCGUUGCUCGUGCGUACUUUCCCCAGAUCUCCCAUGCUGUCGUCUGACUUCGUGCCGACCGGAUUCCGGCUCGUCCCACGCAUGCGCUGAAUGUGCAGGGCGAAGCAUUCGUUGGGGACGAACGUUUAGGGCGGGGAUUGGGGAACACGAGCCUGCUGGUCGGCGGAAUCGAAUUUGGGGUCCUAGCUUGAAGGGCUGCCAUCGUUUUUGGUUGGGAUGGCUGGAAAGGGAUAUGUUCCUCCACAAUAUAUUCCCUUAUAUGGCGUAGAUACCGAAGAUGAUCAUGUUCCGGCUGUGGAAGAAAACCAUGCUGCACGCCAUAAACUAAACCGGGAUCUGACACAAUGGUCAUCUGGCAUCUGUGCUUGUUUUGAUGAUCCCCAGAGCUGUAUGCCACUUUCUGAUCUGUGGUGCUAUUUGGUUGCAUGAUAGGUUGCAUAUAGUUGUAUUGGUGCGACUUGCCCCUGUUUUCUUUUUGGAAAGAAUGCACAGUUCUUGGGAUCUGGAACUCUUGCUGGAUCAUGCACUACACAUUGCAUGUUGUGGGGCCUUCUUACAAGUCUAUGUUGUGUAUUCACUGGAGGUCUAGUAUUAGCAGUUCCAGGGUCGGCCGUUGCUUGUUAUGCUUGCGGAUAUCGCAGUGCACUAAGAACAAAAUACAAUCUUCCGGAAGCACCCUGUGGCGAUUUGACGACACACUUAUUCUGUCACUUGUGUGCUAUAUGCCAGGAGUACAGGGAGAUCCGUGAGAGAACAGGCAGUGGCUCCUCAUCGGCUCCUAAUGUGACUCCACCCCCAGUUCAGACGAUGGAUGAGCCUUGAUCUCAACUGGUAUGAUUGUAUGUUAUCUGACAAAGUUUGGUGUGUGACCUGGUGGCUAGUGCUGCCUUUGCCUGACGGUGUUUUGACAUAUUUUUGUUCUUGUGCUCUCACAAUGUUACUAUGUGGUUUGUAGAGUUGUAAACAUGGGUUCUGAACUAGUGAACCACUGACAGUUCACGGAAGUUGUAAACACAGUUGUACCAUGGCACUAUAGCAGAAUUGUUAAGUGUAAUUUUUUUUCGUUAUUUAUAUUGGUAAGAGGAUGAAAAGGGGAAAAGAAAAGAAAUGCACUUCUCUUAUAGAA
This is an RNA transcript of Sorghum bicolor (sorghum), 1214 nucleotides long. It is a transcript of the gene named cell number regulator 5, with no coding region annotated. Lineage: Eukaryota; Viridiplantae; Streptophyta; Magnoliopsida; Poales; Poaceae. The record is from RefSeq and is a predicted model, not a curated record. The transcript is spliced from 4 exons.